UCGCCGCGCAUACAUGUGGCGCACAACGAGUUUCCUAGGCCGAUAGGAUUGUCUCUUAGCCAGGAUCUCGAGGGAUCCGCGUGACAUCAUGGGCAUGCAGACGACUGCAUUCGAUCAUGUGUCGUUGCGACGGUGUUGUUGUGAUGUUGUCACAGCUAAGAGACUCUGGGCAAUCUGAGAGAGCGCUACGUGACUGGGCUAGACUUUUGUAAUUGUUGGUCUUGAACGAGGAAUGCCUAGUAAUCGUAGGUCAUUAUCCUGCGAUGAUUAUGUCCCUGCCCUUUGUACACACCGCCCGUCGCUCCUGCCGUGGCUCGUGCCGGUGAAGAGGGGGAGGCAGCGUCAACGGAGUAACAUCUGAUUGUACGUGGAACCCCUCUGAACCUUCGCGAGUAGAGGAAGGAGAAGUCGUAACAAGGUUUUCGUAGGUGAACCUGCGAAAGGAUCAUUAUCGGCAAAUUCAUAACUACAACACUCAUAUGUGUGUGUGGUAAACACUUAUGGACUAUGUGAACAUAUGUCUAUAUGUAUUGUAACAAUGUUGACGUCUUAGCAAUGUCUCUAAAGCAUGCGUAGUGGACGGCUCGGUUCCCGUGUCGAUGAAGGACGUAGCGAAAUACGAAAGGUGUUGCGAAUUGCAAGAUUUCGUGAGUCAAUGAAUAUCCGAAUGCAUUGUCGUCCCUUCGCAGUCUUCGGGUUGCAAGGGGCGCGUCGGCAACAUCGGCUAAUUGUCGACCUUCAUAGUUUCUGUUGUACUCUUCCACGAGAGGCUGCUGGAUUCUACGAAGUAGUGGUUCAGUGAACAAGCAUUCGCUACUGCAUCUUGCUGGCUGUGCUUGUGAUGUUUCUCUCUCACUAUCGACUACUGAUUGAGAUCAACGACAGU
This 886-nucleotide ribosomal RNA is filed under the name Caulerpa racemosa var. turbinata-uvifera. RNAcentral's name for it is "bacterial SSU rRNA". The stretch from base 1 to 451 matches the Rfam family "Eukaryotic small subunit ribosomal RNA", at positions 1487 to 1831 of the family's 1831-position model. The record is from RNAcentral. Lineage: Eukaryota; Viridiplantae; Chlorophyta; Ulvophyceae; Bryopsidales; Caulerpaceae.